UAGAGUGUUUCAAGCAGACUUGUGUCUUGAAUACUUCAGCAUGGAAUAAUAAAGUAGGACUUUGGUUCUAUUUUGUUGGUUUGUGAACCUUAGUAAUGGUUAAUAGGAACGGUUG
Molecule: ribosomal RNA, 115 nt
Filed under: Babesia gibsoni
Lineage: Eukaryota; Apicomplexa; Aconoidasida; Piroplasmida; Babesiidae
Description: partial 18S ribosomal RNA
Rfam family: Eukaryotic small subunit ribosomal RNA
Source: RNAcentral